CAGUCUGAACAGGAGCAAACUGAGACAACAUCAGAUGGAGGUUCAGGUGUGCUGCUGUACGUGGGUCUGACUCUGUACAUCUUCGUGCUCCUGUUCUCCGUGGCUGUGCUGAUACUCUGCAAGAAAAGAGCCUCUAAACCCAAAGAACAUCCUGAGGAAACAGAGUGUGCUAAUGUCACAGAGACCACACGGCUGUAUGAGGAGAUCAGAGAGGAUCAGAGCAGAUCUCCUUCAGUCCAAACCUUUGUUGUGUAUAGCGUAGCCACUGCCUCAGCAUCCCGUCCUCUGAGCAAAACUGAAGAUGAGUGGAG
Molecule: long non-coding RNA, 311 nt
Organism: Scomber japonicus (chub mackerel)
Lineage: Eukaryota; Metazoa; Chordata; Actinopteri; Scombriformes; Scombridae
Exons: 5
Source: RefSeq, a predicted model, not a curated record